AGCGAACGCUGGCGGCAGGCCUAACACAUGCAAGUCGAACGGAUCCUUCGGGAUUAGUGGCGGACGGGUGAGUAACACGUGGGAACGUGCCCUUUGGUUCGGUACAACUCAGGGAAACUUGUGCUAAUACCGGAUGUGCCCUUCGGGGGAAAGAUUUAUCGCCAUUGGAGCGGCCCGCGUCUGAUUAGCUAGUUGGUGAGGUAACGGCCCACCAAGGCGACGAUCAGUAUCUGGUCUGAGAGGAUGAUCAGCCACACUGGGACUGAGACACGGCCCAGACGCGGACGGGAGGGAGCAGAGGGGAAUCUUGCGAAAUGGGGGAAAGCCUGACGAAGCCAGGCCGCGUGAAUGAUGAAGGUCUUAGGAUUGUAAAAUUCUUUCAGCGGGGACGAUAAUGACGGUAACCGAAGAAGAAGCUCCGGCUAACUACGUG
This 433-nucleotide ribosomal RNA is filed under the name uncultured bacterium. RNAcentral's name for it is "partial 16S ribosomal RNA". It matches the Rfam family "Bacterial small subunit ribosomal RNA", at positions 29 to 507 of the family's 1533-position model. The record is from RNAcentral.